UACGUAGGGUGCAAGCGUUGUCCGGAAUUAUUGGGCGUAAAGAGCUCGUAGGCGGUGUGUCGCGUCGGCCGUGAAAACCUGCAGCUUAACUGUGGGCUUGCGGUCGAUACGGGCAUCACUGGAGUUCGGCAGGGGAGACUGGAAUUCCUGGUGUAGCGGUGAAAUGCGCAGAUAUCAGGAGGAACACCGGUGGCGAAGGCGGGGUCUCUGGGCCGAUACUGACGCUGAGGAGCGAAAGCGUGGGGAGGCGAACAGG
This 256-nucleotide ribosomal RNA is filed under the name uncultured bacterium. RNAcentral describes it as "partial 16S ribosomal RNA". It matches the Rfam family "Bacterial small subunit ribosomal RNA", at positions 524 to 776 of the family's 1533-position model. The record is from RNAcentral.